This 70-nucleotide transfer RNA is filed under the name Crocodylus johnstoni (Johnstone river crocodile). RNAcentral describes it as "Crocodylus johnsoni (Johnstone river crocodile) tRNA-Phe". Lineage: Eukaryota; Metazoa; Chordata; Crocodylia; Crocodylidae. The record is from RNAcentral.
UCAUCGUAGCUUAACUCAUAAAAAGCAUAACACUGAAAAUGUUAACAUGGACAAUAAGUCCCGAAUGACA